Hylaeus volcanicus is the source of this 622-nucleotide long non-coding RNA. RefSeq lists it as uncharacterized. NCBI's taxonomy places the organism in Eukaryota, Metazoa, Arthropoda, Insecta, Hymenoptera, Colletidae. The record is from RefSeq and is a predicted model, not a curated record. The transcript has 4 exons.
CGUGUUGCCGAGGCUAAAGCGCGGUCACUAGCUGCAGGACAGUCAACGACCGCCCAUGAUUCAGGGCAGAUUCGCAUUGAUACAUAUAGGGUACCAAAAAGUUAUAUAAGUGUUCGUUUCUGAAAACGAACAUAAAUUCACUCUGACGGGAAUUAAGCAAUGCAGGGGUUAAACCCAGAGAAUGAUACUUCAGGAUAUGUAUGAAGGGAUACGCAAGCCUGGCCACACUCUCGACGGUUUUGACGAAAAAAAAUGUGGCCUAGGGCAGGAAGCAGAAAGAAGUUGUGCGGACAGUGAAGCGAAUCCUAACGACGAAACCGAUUCUGGCUAUUUUCGAUAGCACGAAGCGAACUGAAAUGGAUAUGAACGGCAGUUCCUUGGGAUUAGGGGCGAUAUUGUUCCAGUACUCGAUCUACGGGACGCGUCAGGGUCGUUAAGGAUUGCAACGCACUGAGAACAACGUUUACGAAGGAUUUGAUUCCCAGGAUUAGGCGGUGGUGGCUAAAGAUAUCACCGAAGCUGAUUGGAUUUUGAUGCCACAGAUGGAGGCCGAGCAGUUGGAACAGGUGCGGAAAAUCUUAAUGGAUAACGUUCGUAACAGCGAGACGAAGCAGUAUUUUAC